Molecule: long non-coding RNA, 2024 nt
Filed under: Oryctolagus cuniculus (rabbit)
Lineage: Eukaryota; Metazoa; Chordata; Mammalia; Lagomorpha; Leporidae
Description: lncRNA (ENSOCUG00000037952.1)
Source: RNAcentral
AGUGAACAUUGGCAAGGCCAGGAUGCCACCACCCCCUGAGCCAGGUAACCUGAUCAUCAUGGAAAUCUGAAAGCCUUGUAGGGGAGGUGUGGUAGAAGUGCGGGGAGCACGUGUGUGUGCUGUGCUGUGGUGCAGUGGGCUCAGCCACUGCCUGCAACACCAGCAUCCCAAAGGAGUGCUGGGUUGAGUCCCAGCUGCUGCACUUCCAACCCAGCUGCCUGCUAAUGUACCUGGGAAGGCAGUAGAACAUGGCUCAAGUACGUGGCCAUUUUGGAAGGCACUGGUGAAGUGCCAGGCCCCUGUCUGGCCAGCUACCGUGCCAGUUGUGGUGGCCAUUUCAGGGUCAAAUCAGCAGAUGGAAGCUCUCUUUUGGUUUUCUCACUCCCCAACUCAACCUUUACACAUAAUACAUUUGUAACAGAAAGCAAAAGCACUUUGGGAGGUGAUGCUGAGGUCGCCCAGGUGCACAGCAGUUCACAUCCUUCCUGCCUUUUCCCUUCUAGGACCUGUACUGAGCACACCUGAUCCUACCAGAUGGACCGGCAAUGGAAGGCGGAGGAAGCAAACCUGCAAAGAAGAAGCCAUGGACACUACUCCUCCAUACACUCCACCUAGGGAGGAGGAGCCCAUGGACACCACACCCCCAUAUGAGCCACCAGAACCCAUGGACACCACACCCCCAUAUGAGCCACCAGAACCGAUGGACACCACGCCCCCAUAUGAGCCACCGGAACCAAUGGACACCACGCCCCCAUAAGAAACAUCUUGGGUGGAUCCACACCUCCCCAUGUUCCACCACGGGAAGAGCCCAGGGAUAUCACACUCCCAACAUUCCACCAUGGGAGGAGCCUAUUGACCCACACCCUCCUGUGCUCCCCCAUGGGAGGAGUCCCUGGACACCACAACCUCCUAAGUGCCACCAAAGGAGGAACCAAUGGACACCACAAUGCCAUAGGCUCCUCCUCCAGAGUAGCUCCUGGACACCACACCCUCCUACGCUCCACCAAGGGAGGAACCAAUGGAUACCACAAUCCCAUAGGCUCCUCCUCCAGAUAGCUCCUGGACACUACACCCUCCUACGCUCCACCAAGGGAGGAACCAAUGGAUACCACAAUCCCAUAGGCUCCUCUGCCAGAGGAGCCCAUGGACACAACACCAACCUAUACUCCCCCUCCAGAGGAGGCCAUGGACCCUUCACCCCCUAGUUUCCAGCAUAGUCCAUGGAAAUGUCAACCACGUCUCCUGCCCUCUGUUUUCCUCCUGCUGGUCCCAGGGGCAGUUUUAUGCCUGGCCUUCCCACCUUUCCUUGCAUCUUCAUACCCAGUUUCCCAGCACCUAUGGAUAUAGACCCUCCGGCAUGACCCUUCCUACCUCCCCUCCAGGACAUGGCACAACUCUGCCCCCGGCCAGCUCCUUUCAUGGCCUCCAGCUGGCUCCUCGCCACAGAAGAUUCUUAUUUAAUAUUAAACACCAUAAUCGUUCUGUUUUUUUUGUGUGUGUGUCUGUGCUCUGUAGAUCCAGUGUGAGAAAUGCUGGCUUGUGUGAGUGCUGACAGGAGGUCAGAUCCUAUGGGAAAAUGUUCCUGUGGCACAAGAAACAGGGGCUGGAGGGUUGGGGGCUAGGGAGUAGAAGGAGCCAAAGGCCAUAAUGACUUCCUCCUGAGCAGAAAAGCUGUGACUGAUGGGCCGGCACCUGUGCCAGCAUAGUGGGUGAAGCUGCGGCCUGCAGUGCUGGCAUCCCAUAUGGGUACUGGUUCAAAUCCUGGGAGCUCUACUUCUGAUCCACCUCUCUGCUAUGGCCUGGGAAAACAGAAGAUGGCCCAAGUCCUUGGGCCCCUCUACACACGUGGGACACCUGGAAGAAGCCUCUGGCUUCUGGCAUUGCAUCAGUAGAGCUCCAGCCUUAGGAGCCAAUUGGAGAGUGUACCAGUGGAUGGAAUAACUCUCUUUCCCUGCCUCUCCUUCUCUCUCUCUCUAACUCAGACUUUAAAUAAAUGAAAAAUAAAUGAAUAAAUCUCUAAAUAA